ACGUGAGUAGCGGUGCAAAUAAGUUCAUAUUUCAUUCACUUGGAAAGUCUAAUAACUAAAAAUGGCAACAAGUUCUUCGCAAACAACUGCUUCACAGCGUAAUUUAAGUGAAUUGAAAAGUCAUCAAUACGAAAUACAAAAUUUUGUGAAGAUCAGCCAACAAGUCGAGUUCCUCAAUUUUGAUGUGGAGAAUUGCAAUGUCUUCUCGAAUCGAACAAUUUGAAUAUAACCUGUGAGAAAGAUGUCUAUGGUGCCAUAACUCGUUGGUUUAAU
Long non-coding RNA from Zeugodacus cucurbitae (melon fly), 273 nucleotides. RefSeq lists it as uncharacterized. Lineage: Eukaryota; Metazoa; Arthropoda; Insecta; Diptera; Tephritidae. The transcript is spliced from 3 exons. The record is from RefSeq and is a predicted model, not a curated record.